This 460-nucleotide ribosomal RNA is filed under the name uncultured bacterium. RNAcentral's name for it is "partial 16S ribosomal RNA". It matches the Rfam family "Bacterial small subunit ribosomal RNA", at positions 338 to 795 of the family's 1533-position model. The record is from RNAcentral.
CCUACGGGGGGCAGCAGUGAGGAAUAUUGGUCAAUGGACGAGAGUCUGAACCAGCCAAGUAGCGUGAAGGAUGACUGCCCUAUGGGUUGUAAACUUCUUUUAUAUGGGAAUAAAACAGGGUAUGCAUACCCUCUUGUAUGUACCAUAUGAAUAAGGAUCGGCUAACUCCGUGUCAGCAGCCGCGGUAAUACGGAGGAUCCGAGCGUUAUCCGGAUUUAUUGGGUUUAAAGGGAGCGUAGGUGGAUUGUUAAGUCAGUUGUGAAAGUUUGCGGCUCAACCGUAAAAUUGCAGUUGAAACUGGCAGUCGUGAGUACAGUAGAGGUGGGCGGAAUGCGCGGUGUAGCGGUGAAAUGCUUAGAUAUCACGAAGAACUCCGAUUGCGAAGGCAGCUCACUGGACUGCAACUGACGCUGAGGCUCGAAAGUGUGGGUAUCAAACAGGAUUAGAUACCCGGGUAGUC